CCGCGCCCGUCAUGCACAAGAAAUGAAAGUGAAAGCAAUACAAAAUAAAGUCAUGACUGAUUUGUAAAGACUAAUGAAACUUCCACUCUAUAUUUUCAACUAAAAUGUCAUUGCGUGGGUUUGGCAAUAGUUAUCUGAGAAGCGGCACCUGCAGUGUAUCCAGCCAGGACAUUGAAGCCCAGUACCAGCAGAACCCAAAUGGAACUAUGAACUUCACUACCAGGAGAUUCAGCUAUCAACUGAACUUCUCAGCCCUGACCCAAAGAAACCUGUCCACUCAGACCACCCGAUCUGUUCAACACCUGAACUAAUCACUGCCCACGACACUGUCCUCUGUCAGGGGCGAAGUGCAAUACCCUGGCAGUGGAGGCUGGUGGGAGGAGCUAUAGGAGGACGGGCUCAUUGUAAUGGCUGGAAUGGAACGGUAUCAAACACAAACACAUGGAAACGUUUCACUCUGUUUCUUUUAUUCCAUUCCAGCCAUUACAAUGAGCCCGUACUCCUAUAGCUUCUCACACCAGCCGCCACUGUACACUGGGUGCAUCUCAAUUGUCUAAAGUGGCUUCCUCUCAACUCCAUUUCUUCAUGUGCACAGUGAAGACGAAGUCCCUGUCCGGUACUGAGACAGAACCCCUUCCAUUCCACUUCCUCCUAAAAAUGAAACUUGUUUACAUAUGUAUUCAUGGAUUUCCUGUUAUUUUCUCAACAUUGUGCAUAGACUUAAAAACCAAUACUAUUAUUAGAAAAGUAACUUCUGACAAUCUGCACAAUACUUUAAAAAUGUGAUCUGUAAAAAGAACCCUCUCACUGCCAAUGGUACAAAAGGAAGAAGCCUUUUGAGCAUGUUCUAGCAUGUACAUUUGCAUUGUCUUUAGUUUGAAUAAAGAUGAUUUUCUAUCUA
Molecule: long non-coding RNA, 901 nt
Organism: Salvelinus fontinalis (brook trout)
Lineage: Eukaryota; Metazoa; Chordata; Actinopteri; Salmoniformes; Salmonidae
Exons: 4
Source: RefSeq, a predicted model, not a curated record